This 616-nucleotide long non-coding RNA is filed under the name Mytilus galloprovincialis (Mediterranean mussel). The record is from RNAcentral. Lineage: Eukaryota; Metazoa; Mollusca; Bivalvia; Mytilida; Mytilidae.
ACUUUUAUAACUGAUGUUAAUAUUGUAACUUUUAUUUCAUACUAGUCUAAUGACAUAUGAGGGAAAAGCUAUUUGCAAAGAUACAAAUGAUACAUGGAGACACUCGGUUAAACCAAACAUUGACCUGUUUUUUUUUAAUAUGAAUUUCUUCAUUGAUUAAAUUUCCUAAAUAUAAAAAGAGGUGGUACGAAUGCCAAUGAAACGGGAAAGCCCACGUUCUAAUCUAUAUAAACAAAAACGAGAAACCAGCAUGAACCACUUCAACAAACGACAGCCACCGAACAACAUGUUCCUGGCUUAGGACAGGUGCAAACAAAUGCAGCGGGUUUAAACUAGUUGAUAGAUAUCAACCUUCACCUUUACCUGGAAUAAUAGUGUAACAUCACAACAUAGAAAUACUUAUGAGCCAUUCAUUAUCCCUUUCCCUCGAUAUAGACACAGAUAAACAUCAAAAUCUAAAAUGUACGAGAAACGUGAUAAUUUCCACUUUCCAUUUCUCAGCAGUAACAAACCAUAUACCUAACCUUAUGGCGUUUAUACAUCACAAUUGAUACUUUACGCUUAUGCUUUGAUACAUUUAUGGAGAUAGAUGAUAACCACUUCAUUACAAAUUCAG